Molecule: ribosomal RNA, 253 nt
Filed under: uncultured bacterium
Lineage: Bacteria
Description: partial 16S ribosomal RNA
Rfam family: Bacterial small subunit ribosomal RNA
Source: RNAcentral
UACGUAGGGGGCAAGCGUUGUCCGGAAUCAUUGGGCGUAAAGCGCGUGUAGGCGGUUCGGUAAGUCUGCUGUGAAAGUCCAGGGCUCAACCCUGGGAUGCCGGUGGAUACUGUCGGACUAGAGUACGGAAGAGGCGAGUGGAAUUCCCGGUGUAGCGGUGAAAUGCGCAGAUAUCGGGAGGAACACCAAUUGCGAAGGCAGCUCGCUGGGACGUUACUGACGCUGAGACGCGAAAGCGUGGGGAGCAAACAGG